AACGCAGGCGGUCUUUUAAGUCUGAUGUGAAAGCCUUCGGCUUAACCGAAGUAGUGCAUUGGAAACUGGAAGACUUGAGUGCAGAAGAGGAGAGUGGAACUCCAUGUGUAGCGGUGAAAUGCGUAGAUAUAUGGAAGAACACCAGUGGCGAAGGCGGCUGUCUGGUCUGUAACUGACGCUGAGGCUCAAAGCAUGGGUAGCGAACA
RNAcentral lists this ribosomal RNA (206 nucleotides) under uncultured bacterium. Its description in RNAcentral is "partial 16S ribosomal RNA". It matches the Rfam family "Bacterial small subunit ribosomal RNA", at positions 568 to 774 of the family's 1533-position model. The record is from RNAcentral.